ACUCUCAGCAACAGAUAUCUUGGCUCUUGCAACGAUGAAGAACGCAGCGAAAUGCGAUACGUAGUGUGAAUUGCAGAAUUCCGCGAAUCAUCGAGUUUUUGAACGCAAGUUGCGCCCGAGGCUUGUCCGAGGGCAUUUCCGCUAGAGCGUCA
This 152-nucleotide ribosomal RNA is filed under the name Bryum argenteum. RNAcentral describes it as "5.8S ribosomal RNA". It matches the Rfam family "5.8S ribosomal RNA". Rfam says of the family: 5.8S ribosomal RNA (5.8S rRNA) is a component of the large subunit of the eukaryotic ribosome. It is transcribed by RNA polymerase I as part of the 45S precursor that also contains 18S and 28S rRNA. Functionally, it is thought that 5.8S rRNA may be involved in ribosome translocation. The record is from RNAcentral. Lineage: Eukaryota; Viridiplantae; Streptophyta; Bryopsida; Bryales; Bryaceae.